GACGAACGCUGGCGGCGUGCUUAACACAUGCAAGUCGAACGGAAAGGCCCUGCUUGCAGGGUGCUCGAGUGGCGAACGGGUGAGGAACACGUGGGUGAUCUGCCCCUUACUUUGGGAUAAGCCUGGGAAACUGGGUCUAAUACUGGAGAGGACCAUGCUGUAGGUGGUGUGGUGGAAAGAUGAGUUUCGGUAAGGGAUGAGCUCGCGGCCUAUCAGCUUGUUGGUGGGGUAAUGGCCUACCAAGGCGUCGACGGGUAGCCGGCCUGAGAGGGUGGACGGCCACAUUGGGACUGAGAUGCGGCCCAGAAGCCUACGGGGGGCAGCAGUGGAGAAUAUUGCACAAUAGGCGCAAGCAUGAUGCCGCGGCGCCACGUGGGGGGUGACGGCCUUCGGGUUGUAAACUCCUUUCAGCCAUGACGAAGCCCUUGUGGUGACGGUAGUGGUAGAAGAAGCACCGGCUAACUACGUG
This 469-nucleotide ribosomal RNA is filed under the name uncultured bacterium. RNAcentral's name for it is "partial 16S ribosomal RNA". It matches the Rfam family "Bacterial small subunit ribosomal RNA", at positions 28 to 507 of the family's 1533-position model. The record is from RNAcentral.